GACGAACGCUGGCGGCGUGCUUAACACAUGCAAGUCGAACGGAAAGGCCCUGCUUUUGUGGGGUGCUCGAGUGGCGAACGGGUGAGUAACACGUGAGUAACCUGCCCUUGACUUUGGGAUAACUUCAGGAAACUGGGGCUAAUACCGGAUAGGAGCUCCUGCUGCAUGGUGGGGGUUGGAAAGUUUCGGCGGUUGGGGAUGGACUCGCGGCUUAUCAGCUUGUUGGUGGGGUAGUGGCUUACCAAGGCUUUGACGGGUAGCCGGCCUGAGAGGGUGACCGGCCACAUUGGGACUGGGAUACGGCCCAGACUCCUACGGGAGGCAGCAGUGGGGAAUGUUGCACAAUGGGCGGAAGCCUGAUGCAGCAACGCCGCGUGCGGAAUGACGGCCUUCGGGUUGUAAACCGCUUUCGCCUGUGACGAAGCGUGAGGGACGGUAAUGGGUAAAGAAGCACCGGCAAACUACGU
Molecule: ribosomal RNA, 467 nt
Filed under: uncultured bacterium
Lineage: Bacteria
Description: partial 16S ribosomal RNA
Rfam family: Bacterial small subunit ribosomal RNA
Source: RNAcentral